Molecule: ribosomal RNA, 450 nt
Filed under: uncultured Glomeromycotina
Lineage: Eukaryota; Fungi; Glomeromycota
Description: SSU rRNA
Rfam family: Eukaryotic small subunit ribosomal RNA
Source: RNAcentral
CGCAGCCGCGGUAAUUCCAGCUCCAAUAGCGUAUAUUAAAGUUGUUGCAGUUAAAAAGCUCGUAGUUGAACUUCGGGGUCUACCCAUUGGUCAGGCUUAAUUGUCUGCACUGGUGAGGUGGAUCUCUACCUUCUGAGGAACUUUCAUGCCAUUUAUUUGGUGUGGUUGGAAAUCAGGACUGUUACUUUGAGAAAAUUAGAGUGUUUAAAGCAGACUAUCGUCUGAAUACAUUAGCAUGGAAUAAUGAAAUAGGACGGACUGAUUCUAUUUCGUUGGUUUCUAGGAUCACCGUAAUGAUUAAUAGGGAUAGUUGGGGGCAUUAGUAUUCAAUUGCCAGAGGUGAAAUUCUUGGAUUUAUUGAAGACUAACUACUGCGAAAGCAUUUGCCAAGGAUGUUUUCAUUAAUCAAGAACGAAAGUUAGGGGAUCGAAGACGAUCAGAUACCGUCGU